CCUACGGGUGGCAGCAGUGGGGAAUAUUGGGCAAUGGGCGCAAGCCUGACCCAGCAAUGCCGCGUGAAGGAAGAAGGCUUUCGGGUUGUAAACUUCUUUGACCUGGGAAGCGCAGCAGACGGUACCCUGAACACCAGCCACGGCUAACUACGUGCCAGCAGCCGCGGUAAUACGUAGGUGGCAAGCGGUGUCCGGAUUUCCUGGGUGUAAAGGGCGUGUAGCCGGGAAGGCAAGUCAGAUGUGAAAUCUGGAGGCUCAACCUCCAAAUUGCAUGUGAAACUGUUUUUCUUGAGUACUGGAGAGGCAGACGGAAGGCCUUGUGUAGCGGUGAAAUGCGUAGAUAUAAGGAGGAACACCAGUGGCGAAGGCGGUCUGCUGGACAGCAACUGACGGUGAGGCGCGAAAGCGUGGGGAGCAAACAGGAUUAGAUACCCUUGUAGUC
This 442-nucleotide ribosomal RNA is filed under the name uncultured bacterium. RNAcentral's name for it is "partial 16S ribosomal RNA". It matches the Rfam family "Bacterial small subunit ribosomal RNA", at positions 338 to 795 of the family's 1533-position model. The record is from RNAcentral.